This 208-nucleotide long non-coding RNA is filed under the name Mytilus galloprovincialis (Mediterranean mussel). Lineage: Eukaryota; Metazoa; Mollusca; Bivalvia; Mytilida; Mytilidae. The record is from RNAcentral.
AAGCAUUGUUAGCUGUACAUGUCUACCUGGCAUGGUUCAUCUGACCUUGACCUCAUUUUCAAGGUUCAUUGGUCUAUGUUUAGUUAUCUUGGUUAAUGUUAAGUUUAUGUGACAGUUGUUAUAAAGCUUAGCUUUAUACUUAGGACUAUCAACAUAAUAUCAAUGAUUAGUAUAGAAGGCGAGACAUUUCAGCGCGUGCACUCUUGUU